RNAcentral lists this ribosomal RNA (253 nucleotides) under uncultured bacterium. RNAcentral describes it as "partial 16S ribosomal RNA". It matches the Rfam family "Bacterial small subunit ribosomal RNA", at positions 524 to 776 of the family's 1533-position model. The record is from RNAcentral.
UACAGAGGUCUCGAGCGUUGUUCGGAUUCAUUGGGCGUAAAGGGCGCGUAGGCGGCGGGGUAAGUCGGGUGUGAAAUCUCGGAGCUUAACUCCGAAACUGCAUUCGAUACUGCCGUGCUUGAGGACUGGAGAGGAGACUGGAAUUUACGGUGUAGCGGUGAAAUGCGUAGAUAUCGUAAGGAAGACCAGUGGCGAAGGCGGGUCUCUGGACAGUUCCUGACGCUGAGGCACGAAGGCCAGGGGAGCAAACGGG